This 424-nucleotide long non-coding RNA is filed under the name Capsicum annuum. RNAcentral describes it as "long non-coding RNA (CANN_LNC005414)". Lineage: Eukaryota; Viridiplantae; Streptophyta; Magnoliopsida; Solanales; Solanaceae. The record is from RNAcentral.
AAUGUGAUGAUUAUAGAACAAGGGAGAUUCUUUUGGCUUCUGUCUUUUUGCUAAUUUUUGCUAUUAAAGCUUAUAUGGAGCGACCAACAGUCCUCUUUUAUGAGUAGGUGAGAAAUAGAGAUUAGACUGUACACCAGUCCAUUCUGAGGAUUAAGUCUGAUAGUGAGAUUUUAACCAUGUAUUAAAGUUCAACUUGAAUUAUGAGAUUAUUAAUGAAUGAUUUUGUUUUGUGAUAUGUAUAUGUUGUGUUAUAAUUUAUUACUUAUGUAUGUAAAUAAAAAUUUAUAUUAAUACGAGUGACUAUUUAUAUAAAUUAUUUUAAUUUAAUAACAUAUGGCAAUAAUUGUUGCAAUAGAUCAAUAAACCAUUGCAAUAGGUAGUCAAAAAGCAUUGCAACAGAAUAAAAAAAGUGUUGCAAUAGAUG